UACAGGGGUCUCGAGCGUUAGUCGGAUUCAUUGGGCUUAAAGCGUACGUAGGCGGGUGUGCAGGCGUCGUGUGAAAGCCCUCGGCUCAACCGAGGAAUUGCAUGGCGAACCGCACAUCUUGAGACAAGUAGGGGCGGUCGGAACGAUAGGUGGAGUGGUGAAAUGCGUUGAUAUCUAGCGGAACGCCGAUGGUGAAGACAGGCCGCUGGGCUUGUUCUGACGCUGAGGUACGAAAGCGUGGGGAGCGAACGGG
This 253-nucleotide ribosomal RNA is filed under the name uncultured bacterium. RNAcentral describes it as "partial 16S ribosomal RNA". It matches the Rfam family "Bacterial small subunit ribosomal RNA", at positions 524 to 776 of the family's 1533-position model. The record is from RNAcentral.